This is a long non-coding RNA of Eurytemora carolleeae, 234 nucleotides long. RefSeq lists it as uncharacterized. The record is from RefSeq and is a predicted model, not a curated record. The transcript is spliced from 2 exons. NCBI's taxonomy places the organism in Eukaryota, Metazoa, Arthropoda, Copepoda, Calanoida, Temoridae.
AGCAUCUGUUUAAUGUAUCCGGGACAUUUUCUUAAAUCUCGCAUCUCACAUACAUCACAAACCGCCCAAUAUUUCAACUGCAUUGAAUUCAGGCAGUUACCAGGCAGUUACAGGCAGUCGCUUGAGCAGUCAGGUUCAACACAGGCCUCAGGUCAAAAAGAGUUUUUAGCUCCAGAGCAGUUCUAUCCAAGGAGGCUUUAGGAGGAAAACUAGAAUUUUUGAAGCAAUCGAGAA